Molecule: long non-coding RNA, 1652 nt
Organism: Piliocolobus tephrosceles (Ugandan red Colobus)
Lineage: Eukaryota; Metazoa; Chordata; Mammalia; Primates; Cercopithecidae
Source: Ensembl
AUGAUGAACUUAAAAAUACAUGAUAUGAACGUUUUAACCAAAGACACGAUUUUGUUUAAAACAAAAAAGUUAAAAAAAUUAUGCGACAAUGAAGGAAAUAUAAAUAGUAAACAUUUAAAUACUUUAAUAGAAAUAUUAGAAUAUUUUUUUGAAAAUUAUAUGGAAUGUUUUUUGUCACCUGUAGUUUGGGAAAUAGUUGAAAAAAUUAUUUUAUUAGAAAAUGCCAUUGAAGAAAAAAAAAUUAUAGAUGUUGAUUUUGAUACAUCGAUACUAUUUUGUGAAUUUAUUUUCAGUAAAUUAAUAUAUUAUGCAAAUUAUGAAAAUGAUAAUUUCAAUUACUUUUUUAGUUUUAAUUGUUUAAAGAGACAUUUAUGUUCAAUCAUAAGCUCGUUUUUAAAUUUUAACAAUUCAUCACAUAGAAGAAAAAUUGAAGCAUCCUUUACAAACGAGUUAACAAAUUUAAUGAAGCAGAUAUAUGAAAAAAUAAAAGUUGAAAAUGAUUUAGAACUUAAGGUAUCAUAUACAGAAUUUUUAUGGAGGUCUUUUAGAAGAAUAGACAUAAAUACAUUUAACCCAAAACAUUUUAAUGUUGAUAUGAAAACAAUAAAAAGAUUGAAAAAGUUUAAAAUUUUGAAGUUUGACGAAGAAUGUAUAAACUGGUUAAAGGAAGAAAAUUACAUUGACAAAAAACGAUUCAUUGAAAAUGGAUCGUUUAUAAUAGAGGCAAACCAAAACAUAGUGAACAGGGAAUUCCUCAUAUGUUAUUUUGGAAAAUGUUCUGUAUUUAUAUACUAUAAAAGUGAAGAGAUAGAGGAAGACGAAAUUGACGAAAAAUGUAAAAUAGAAAUUCCUUAUUAUCAUAUAAUGUCCAUACAUUUUAAAAGUAAAACAAUAUUUCUAAUGGAUUGCAAAGGGACAGUCGAUCAGACAAAUAUUUUUUGUCUUUGGGGCGAGGAUAUAAAAAAUAGCAUAAAUUACGAAACAACUAAUAUGUUCUCUCUGUCAAUCGAGGUUAAAAAUUGCCCAAAAGAAAUUCGGAAAGACUUAAACAAAUUUUUAAACACGUUAAAUGUGCAAAUAAAACAAACUUUAAAUAAAGACGAAAACAAUAAUGAACCGGAAGCAACUAAUGAUAAGAAAUCUAAAAUAGAAAAAACUGAGACAUUAAGUGAUUUUAUUGACAAAACUUUAAAUAGGGAACUGGAAGACCCUAUGUUUUCUGAUAACGAACAGAUUAUGGACAAUAACAUAAGUGAUAAAAAAUUGCUAAAAAACAACACACAAAAAGGAGUUGUAACUGUGGAACGUGAAGUUGAAAAAAGAAAUAAAGACAAAAAAAGAAAUGGUAAAAAGUCAAAACACUUAAAAUCGUCACAACUGACAAAUCAUAAAAAAACGUGUGAAGACGAAGCAUCUUUAAAAGCAAUAACAGAUAAAACACACAGUCAAGGGGUCUCAGAACAAGACACCGAUACUGAUACUAUGAUAAACAAAAUUCUUUGUACUCAAAAAGAAAAAAAAGACAAAAUGAAAAAUUUUGUAAAAAAAGCAUUUCAUGAAGCUUUAAAUGAAAUAGAUAACAAUAUUAAAUUAUUGAUUGAGGUAUAGGACUUGUUAAUAAAAAUAAACAUAAAAAAAAAAAAAAUGAAAUA